RNAcentral lists this ribosomal RNA (323 nucleotides) under uncultured eukaryote. RNAcentral describes it as "partial 18S ribosomal RNA". It matches the Rfam family "Eukaryotic small subunit ribosomal RNA", at positions 1470 to 1796 of the family's 1831-position model. The record is from RNAcentral.
CCCUUAGAUGUUCUGGGCUGCACGCGUGCUACACUGAUAUUGCCAAUAUGUCAUUCUUAUCCGAAAUGGAUUGGGUAAUCAAGUAAUGAAAUUUCAUGCUUGGAAUCGGUAAUUGCAAUUUUAUCGUGAACGAGGAAUUCCUAGUAAGCGCUAGUCAUCAGCUAAUGUUGAUUAUGUCCCUGCCCUUUGUACACACCGCCCGUCGCUACUACUGAUUGGGUGUUCAAGUGAGAUGCUUAGACCCUUGUUGCAUGGUUCAUUAUUGUGCUCCGAAAGGAAAAAGUUUCAAGCUUGAGUGUCUAGAGGAAGUAAAAGUCGUAACA